CUUUCAAGGGACAGCAGUACUCCACUAGCCUUAGGAGCUAC
This 41-nucleotide transfer RNA is filed under the name Homopholis walbergii. RNAcentral describes it as "partial tRNA-Leu". The record is from RNAcentral. Lineage: Eukaryota; Metazoa; Chordata; Lepidosauria; Squamata; Gekkonidae.